CACUGAAUGUCUUUGUGAUUAUAACAAGCAAAAAAUACAACUUGUAUGUUUCCACAUCCCAAAGGUCGAUUCUGUUCGUUGGAUGAAACAUUUGGUUGCUCAUCAGGUGACUUCUUCAGUCUGAGCUGACUGCAGGUUUCCAACCUUAUAAACAGGACAUUUGUACAGUGACUGAAACUAGCACCACUGACUAACAAUGGGCUGUGACCUCAGUUUCUGAUCAUUAAUAAGCAAAUCGUCGUGACCAUAGACCACUGAUCAAUGACCAUGAGUCCCAUUCACAGAGAGUUGGGGAAUGGCUGCAAUCACAGCAUUGUAAGAUGGUGACAGAUGUACCCUUAGGCCCCCUCCUCCAUUCAGAGAUGGGGCGUUUAUCAAUAUGCGUACUUGUGCGUACUUGCGUUCUCGUGUACUCGUGAUACGUCAUCAGUCGGAGACCAAGUACUGUUCCAAUUCGAAGUACGCAUCACACCGAGAACGCGAAAAAGUCCCGGAUGUGUUCUCGAUCCGCCCGUUUUAUCGAGCAUGCAUCGGUGUAGACUUGGGACAGCUAAAUAUCCCAGAAUGCAUUUCGUCCAAAACUCAACAGCGGACUCCCGGCACAUUGUUUCCACCCCCCCCCACUCCCGCUCCCGCUCGCGGUCUUCUCACUACUCAGGUUAAAGAAACUCCAGCAACUGUCUAUAGUAUUGAGUGUCCACUAAAAUAGAAAUAAAAGCGUUCUAACAUCUCACCUGCUUGUUUUUAUUAAGGUAUGUACACGUAUGUACAUGUACACUAUUUUUAUUAAUAGAGGUUUCACUACUGAGGUUAAAAAUGAUAUAUAAGUCACUUAGAUCACUUCUAAAUGUUAAUGUUUGGUUUAUUUCAGUGUUUUAUUUGUUCCUGAGUAAACCGGUUUGGCUGUGAUUAAAGUUAAGCUUCAUAACAUGUUACUCACAGUUAAAUUAGGAGGGGACGGCAGUAAAAACUCCGGACCUGUGACAUCAUCACGUACGCUGGUGUUCCAAUUGUACAUAUCGCGAGUCCGUGCUCGCGUUCUCGGCGAGUACGUACUCACCGAGAACGCGAGUACGUACUCGCGUACUUGGGCAUUGAUAAACGGCCAUCGUC
Molecule: long non-coding RNA, 1113 nt
Organism: Oreochromis aureus
Lineage: Eukaryota; Metazoa; Chordata; Actinopteri; Cichliformes; Cichlidae
Source: Ensembl